This 497-nucleotide ribosomal RNA is filed under the name uncultured bacterium. RNAcentral's name for it is "partial 16S ribosomal RNA". It matches the Rfam family "Bacterial small subunit ribosomal RNA", at positions 28 to 507 of the family's 1533-position model. The record is from RNAcentral.
GAUGAACGCUGGCGGCGUGCCUAAUACAUGCAAGUCGAGCGAACAGACGAGGAGCUUGCUCCUCUGACGUUAGCGGCGGACGGGUGAGUAACACGUGGAUAACCUACCUAUAAGACUGGGAUAACUUCGGGAAACCGGAGCUAAUACCGGAUAAUAUAUUGAACCGCAUGGUUCAAUAGUGAAAGACGGUUUUGCUGUCACUUAUAGAUGGAUCCGCGCCGCAUUAGCUAGUUGGUAAGGUAACGGCUUACCAAGGCGACGAUGCGUAGCCGACCUGAGAGGGUGAUCGGCCACACUGGAACUGAGACACGGUCCAGACUCCUACGGGAGGCAGCAGUAGGGAAUCUUCCGCAAUGGGCGAAAGCCUGACGGAGCAACGCCGCGUGAGUGAUGAAGGUCUUCGGAUCGUAAAACUCUGUUAUUAGGGUAGAACAAAUGUGUAAGUAACUAUGCACGUCUUGACGGUACCUAAUCAGAAAGCCACGGCUAACUACGUG